This 685-nucleotide ribosomal RNA is filed under the name uncultured Bacilli bacterium. RNAcentral describes it as "bacterial SSU rRNA". It matches the Rfam family "Bacterial small subunit ribosomal RNA", at positions 72 to 740 of the family's 1533-position model. The record is from RNAcentral. Lineage: Bacteria; Bacillati; Bacillota; Bacilli.
ACGGGAGCUUGCUCCCUUAGGUCAGCGGCGGACGGGUGAGUAACACGUGGGUAACCUGCCUGUAAGACUGGGAUAACUCCGGGAAACCGGGGCUAAUACCGGAUGCUUGAUUGAGCCGCAUGGUUCAAUUAUAAAAGGUGGCUUUCAGCUACCACUUACAGAUGGACCCGCGGCGCAUUAGCUAGUUGGUGAGGUAACGGCUCACCAAGGCGACGAUGCGUAGCCGACCUGAGAGGGUGAUCGGCCACACUGGGACUGAGACACGGCCCAGACUCCUACGGGAGGCAGCAGUAGGGAAUCUUCCGCAAUGGACGAAAGUCUGACGGAGCAACGCCGCGUGAGUGAUGAAGGUUUUCGGAUCGUAAAACUCUGUUGUUAGGGAAGAACAAGUACCGUUCGAAUAGGGCGGCACCUUGACGGUACCUAACCAGAAAGCCACGGCUAACUACGUGCCAGCAGCCGCGGUAAUACGUAGGUGGCAAGCGUUGUCCGGAAUUAUUGGGCGUAAAGCGCGCGCAGGCGGUUUCUUAAGUCUGAUGUGAAAGCCCCCGGCUCAACCGGGGAGGGUCAUUGGAAACUGGGGAACUUGAGUGCAGAAGAGGAGAGUGGAAUUCCACGUGUAGCGGUGAAAUGCGUAGAGAUGUGGAGGAACACCAGUGGCGAAGGCGACUCUCUGGUCUGUAAC